UCGGAAAAAGAGGAGUGGCGAACGGGUGAGUAACACGUGGGUAACCUGCCCAUCAGAAGGGGAUAACACUUGGAAACAGGUGCUAAUACCGUAUAACAAUCGAAACCGCAGGGUUUCGAUUUGAAAGGCGCUUUCGGGUGUCGCUGAUGGAUGGACCCGCGGUGCAUUAGCUAGUUGGUGAGGUAACGGCUCACCAAGGCGACGAUGCAUAGCCGACCUGAGAGGGUGAUCGGCCACAUUGGGACUGAGACACGGCCCAAACUCCUACGGGAGGCAGCAGUAGGGAAUCUUCGGCAAUGGACGAAAGUCUGACCGAGCAACGCCGCGUGAGUGAAAAGGUUUUCGGAUCGUAAAACUCUGUUGUUAGAGAAGAACAAGGAUGAGAGUAACUGUUCAUCCCUUGACGGUAUCUAACCAGAAAGCCACGGCUAACUACGUGCCAGCAGCCGCGGUAAUACGUAGGUGGCAAGCGUUGUCCGGAUUUAUUGGGCGUAAAGCGAGCGCAGGCGGUUUCUUAAGUCUGAUGUGAAAGCCCCCGGCUCAACCGGGGAGGGUCAUUGGAAACUGGGAGACUUGAGUGCAGAAGAGGAGAGUGGAAUUCCAUGUGUAGCGGUGAAAUGCGUAGAUAUAUGGAGGAACACCAGUGGCGAAGGCGGCUCUCUGGUCUGUAACUGACGCUGAGGCUCGAAAGCGUGGGGAGCAAACAGGAU
RNAcentral lists this ribosomal RNA (710 nucleotides) under Enterococcus sp. RNAcentral describes it as "bacterial SSU rRNA". It matches the Rfam family "Bacterial small subunit ribosomal RNA", at positions 80 to 778 of the family's 1533-position model. The record is from RNAcentral. Lineage: Bacteria; Bacillati; Bacillota; Bacilli; Lactobacillales; Enterococcaceae.